RNAcentral lists this ribosomal RNA (253 nucleotides) under uncultured bacterium. RNAcentral's name for it is "partial 16S ribosomal RNA". It matches the Rfam family "Bacterial small subunit ribosomal RNA", at positions 524 to 776 of the family's 1533-position model. The record is from RNAcentral.
UACGUAGGUGACCAGCGUUGUCCGGAUUUACUGGGCGUAAAGAGCGCGCAGGCGGUCGUUCAAGUCGAGUGUGAAAGCCCCCGGCUCAACUGGGGAGGGUCACUUGAUACUGAUCGACUCGAAGGCAGGAGAGGGAAGCGGAAUUCCCGGUGUAGUGGUGAAAUGCGUAGAUAUCGGGAGGAACACCAGUGGCGAAGGCGGCUUCCUGGCCUGUUCUUGACGCUGAGGCGCGAAAGCUAGGGGAGCGAACGGG